CGGCUGUCACUGUCUCAGCAGGAGCACCAGCAGCACCAAAAGUAACACCGCAAAGGAAGCUACAAGAUGCCCUGUCUUUCAAAACCAGUUAAAGUCGAAACAAUCACUAAAGGGGAAACCCUCGGUGCUGAUGUAGCUCUGAUGAACCAAGUGAAAUGGAAAGUUAGGCUGGAGGGAACAAACCAGGGUGGACAAUGCACCAUUGUUUUCUGCCCAAUCACCUCCCGUGUUGGCUCAGAUGUGGAGGCAGCCAUGCAAAACGUGCCAUUGGUUGAAAGGAUCAUCCUAGUCUUGAUGCACCACACCAGAGAUCUUGACUACUCAACUGCUGGGACGAAGUGGUCAGAUAUAUAUCCAAAUAUUGACCUGGAAGUUCAUGUUCUCUUCCAUGAAAGUGUCCCAGGGUUACUCACCUGUUCUAAGAACACGGAGGCCGUCUAUCAAAUCCAAAAAUAUUUGGAACCACAUGUUCAAAAGGGUUGGCUUUGGAGAUUAUUACCUAUUUUGUUAUUAUGUGGUAUUGUAGUUCUGUUUGUGGUCCUGUUCCUUGUUUUACUGAGGUAAAGCACAGAUAAACAAACAAAACACAGUGAGAAAUGCAAUGGUUCUAGGUUAUUCUGCAACAAAUGUUUAUGCAUUAAUCAAGUCAUCUAAAAAAUCUAUAUUAUAUUAGAAAAAAAAAUUCACAAUAUACUGCAACAUAAAUGACAUAGGUCAAAGUAAAAUGAAGUAAAAUGAAUUAUGUAGAAACUGCAAUUAAACAAAUUGAACCGUAAUUCAAUCAGAAGUACAAAUUGAAGGAAAAAUAACUUGCUUCUAAUGAAAUAUUUCUACGUGAACUAUAAAUAAUUUCCAGUUAUUGAUAGUUGGUAUUAUUAUUGUUUGUCUGCUUUAAACAUGAAACCAAAGCUCUAUUGAAGUCUCCCACCCAUACAAAAAUUAUCUGGAGAAUCAUAGUCUGCAUGAGUGCAGCUCACCCAGUCAAUUUUCAACAUAUUGUAUUAGGAAUCUAACCAGGAGCCAGUGGAGCUGCUGUAAGACUGCAGUGAUGUGAUGAAAACAGGGUUUUUUGUUAAUAAUGCAAGCAGCUGCAUGCUGAACCAGUUAAAGCUAACAGUGGGAUUUUUGAGGAAGACCAACAAAGUAAAAGAUUUAAGUAAUCGAUGUGAGAAGUUGCAAUAGUAUUGGACACAAGUAUAUAUGGAUUGAGGGAAAAUAGAGGGACAAAGACAAUUAAUAUUGUGUAGAUGAAAAUGAGCAGAAUGGGAAAUGUUAUUGAUUUUAGGGGUGAAGGCUUUAGUGCUAUUGAGGAUGACACCCUCACUCUUAACCUGAGGUGAGGAGGAGACUGUAGAACUAUCAAGUGAAAGGAAGGAACUGUCAGCUUUGGAUAACACAGAUCUGGUUCCUACAGGGAGGAGCUCAGUUUUUUCACUUUUUAAUUUAAGAAAGUUGGAAAUGAAGGGAAGAUUUUAUUUUAGAUAAGCGGGGGUCUAGGCAAGAGGGCAGUUGCAUUGUAUUUGGCUUACAAGAAAGACAGAGCUGGGUGUCAUCUGCAUAAUUGUGAAAAUGGAUGUUAAAGUUCUAGAAGAUGGCUAUGAAGGGGAAAGAAGGUAGAUAAGAAAAAGUUGGGGUCCAAGGAUAGAGCCCUGGGGAAAGCCGGUUGUAACAAAGGAUGUUGACGGGAACUAAAGGAUUUAAGUUGUACAAGCUGAGUGUGGCCAGUAAAGUAAGAAUCAAACAUGUCAAGGGGGUGUAUGUGAUUCCAGUUGAAGAUAAUCUGUGGAGAAGGAUGGAGUUCGAAAUUGUAUCGAAGGCAACACACAGAUCCAGAGGAAUGAGAAUGGAAAGUAAUCCAGUGUCAGCUGCCAUCAGAAGCUCGUUGGUGAUUUUUAUGAGGGUGGUUUAACUACUGUAGUGCGUACGAAGAACACACUGUAAUUCUUUAUAAAGGUUAUUUGUAAAAUGGGAGUGAAGUUGGAAAGCAACUGUUUUUUCUCAGUUUUUUAGUACUUUGGAGAUAAAGGCUAAUUUUGAAAUGGGGGGAGAGUAUUUUAGUUGUUGGGAUCUGAGCUAGAUAGCUUCAGUAUUUGAGUGAUAAUUCCGAUUUUGAAGAGGGUAAGAGCAAUUCCAGAGGUAAGUGAUGAGUGAAUUAUGGCAGUUUUGAAUAGGUGGAGCACUUGAAUGCAGGGCUUAAUUAGGCCUUUUGGGAAUGGAUCAAGCAUAGAAGUGAAAGAUUUAGAUUUACAGUUGAUGUUGGAGAUGCUAGAGCAUGCUUCAAAGUAGAAAACUGGAAAAUAGUUGACAUAAAGGAUU
Fundulus heteroclitus (mummichog) is the source of this 2316-nucleotide long non-coding RNA. RefSeq lists it as uncharacterized. The transcript has 4 exons. The record is from RefSeq and is a predicted model, not a curated record. Lineage: Eukaryota; Metazoa; Chordata; Actinopteri; Cyprinodontiformes; Fundulidae.